RNAcentral lists this ribosomal RNA (465 nucleotides) under Vreelandella stevensii. RNAcentral describes it as "partial 16S ribosomal RNA". It matches the Rfam family "Bacterial small subunit ribosomal RNA", at positions 338 to 795 of the family's 1533-position model. Lineage: Bacteria; Pseudomonadati; Pseudomonadota; Gammaproteobacteria; Oceanospirillales; Halomonadaceae. The record is from RNAcentral.
CCUACGGGGGGCAGCAGUGGGGAAUAUUGGACAAUGGGCGAAAGCCUGAUCCAGCCAUGCCGCGUGUGUGAAGAAGGCCUUCGGGUUGUAAAGCACUUUCAGUGGGGAAGAAAGCCUUGGGGCUAAUACCCUCGAGGAAGGACAUCACCCACAGAAGAAGCACCGGCUAACUCCGUGCCAGCAGCCGCGGUAAUACGGAGGGUGCGAGCGUUAAUCGGAAUUACUGGGCGUAAAGCGCGCGUAGGCGGUCUGAUAAGCCGGUUGUGAAAGCCCCGGGCUCAACCUGGGAACGGCAUCCGGAACUGUCAGGCUGGAGUGCAGGGGAGGAAGGUAGAAUUCCCGGUGUAGCGGUGAAAUGCGUAGAGAUCGGGAGGAAUACCAGUGGCGAAGGCGGCCUUCUGGACUGACACUGACGCUGAGGUGCGAAAGCGUGGGUAGCAAACAGGAUUAGAGACCCUGGUAGGC